GAUGAACGCUGGCGGCGUGCUUAACACAUGCAAGUCGAACGGAAAGGCCCAAGCUUGCUUGGGUACUCGAGUGGCGAACGGGUGAGUAACACGUGGGUGAUCUGCCCUGCACUUCGGGAUAAGCCUGGGAAACUGGGUCUAAUACCGGAUAGGACCACAUUUUGGAUGGUGUGGUGGAAAGUUUUUCGGUGUGGGAUGAGCUCGCAGCCUAUCAGCUUGUUGGUGGGGUAAUGGCCUACUAAGGCGUCGACGGGUAGCCGGCCUGAGAGGGUGUACGGCCACAUUGGGACUGAGAUACGGCCCAGACUCCUACGGGAGGCAGCAGUGGGGAAUAUUGCACAAUGGGCGCAAGCCUGAUGCAGCGACGCCGCGUGGGGGAUGACGGCCUUCGGGUUGUAAACUCCUUUCGCUAGGGACGAAGCGCAAGUGACGGUACCUGGAGAAGAAGCACCGGCUAACUACGUG
Molecule: ribosomal RNA, 465 nt
Filed under: uncultured bacterium
Lineage: Bacteria
Description: partial 16S ribosomal RNA
Rfam family: Bacterial small subunit ribosomal RNA
Source: RNAcentral